UACGAAGGGGGCUAGCGUUGUUCGGAAUCACUGGGCGUAAAGGGCGCGUAGGCGGCCGAUCAAGUCGGGGGUGAAAGCCUGUGGCUCAACCACAGAAUUGCCUUCGAUACUGUUUGGCUUGAGACCGGAAGAGGUUAGUGGAACUGCGAGUGUAGAGGUGAAAUUCGUAGAUAUUACGGAAGAACACCAGUGGCGAAGGCGGCUCACUGGUCCGGUACUGACGCUGAGGUGCGAAAGCGUGGGGAGCAACAGGG
RNAcentral lists this ribosomal RNA (254 nucleotides) under uncultured bacterium. Its description in RNAcentral is "partial 16S ribosomal RNA". It matches the Rfam family "Bacterial small subunit ribosomal RNA", at positions 524 to 776 of the family's 1533-position model. The record is from RNAcentral.